Carcharodon carcharias (great white shark) is the source of this 642-nucleotide long non-coding RNA. RefSeq lists it as uncharacterized. The record is from RefSeq and is a predicted model, not a curated record. The transcript has 3 exons. Lineage: Eukaryota; Metazoa; Chordata; Chondrichthyes; Lamniformes; Lamnidae.
GGGAGGAGAGCAAGGAACGAAUAAAGCUCUUGACAGCGCUCGGGCUGUUUCAAAACACACAGAAUCGAGGACGGAGGCGGCAACAAUUAGCCAGAGUUUGGACAGACUGUGGAACAGGAGGAUUAAAACUUCUGUUGAAGGGUCAUGAGGACUCGAAACAUCAACUUUGUUCUUCUCCGCCGAUGCUGCCAGACCUGCUGAGCUUUUCCAGAUGCUGACUGAAGGUUUUUGGUGACUUUCUGUAUGGUGAACUGGUCACUGGGUCGCAACCUCUUGGACGUCCACGCCUCCAGUACAAGAACAUCUACAAGCGAGAUGUAUGAGGAUGACAGACAUUGACACUGACAACUGGGAGACAGUUGCUGAGGUUGUGGCCUCUGGAGGCUGACUGUCUGGAAGGGCAUUGGAAGAGGUGGGCAAAAACAGAAAGCUCAGCUGUCCAAGAAGAGGGCCCACAGAAAACAGAGGCCAGCGAAUCUUACACCUUCGCAACCCACCAUCUUCCUCUGUAGCAGAUACUGUGGGGUUCCUGAGCCACAACAGGUGGUGCUUAACACAGUUGACCACUACAGUGCAAACCAUUGUCUCACAGGAUGGGAAGGCUUCCAUUUUUGUUAUUGCUGACCAAGCUGCAGUGUAUUA